GACGAACGCUGGCGGCGUGCUUAACACAUGCAAGUCGAACGGAAAGGCCCUGCUUUUGUGGGGUGCUCGAGUGGCGAACGGGUGAGUAACACGUGAGUAACCUGCCCUUGACUUUGGGAUAACUUCACGAAACUGGGGCUAAUACCGGAUAGGAGCUCCUGCUGCAUGGUGGUGGUUGGAAAGUUUCGGCGGUUGGGGAUGGACUCGCGGCUUAUCAGCUUGUUGGUGGGGUAGUGGCUUACCAAGGCUUUGACGGGUAGCCGGCCUGAGAGGGUAACCGGCCACAUUGGGACUGAGAUACGGCCCAGACUCCUACGGGAGGCAGCAGUGGGGAAUAUUGCACAAUGGGCGGAAGCCUGAUGCAGCAACGCCGCGUGCGGGAUGACGGCCUUCGGGUUGUAUACCGCUUUCGCCUGUGACGAAGCGUGAGUGACGGUAAUGGGUAAAGAAGCACCGGCUAACUACGUG
This 468-nucleotide ribosomal RNA is filed under the name uncultured bacterium. Its description in RNAcentral is "partial 16S ribosomal RNA". It matches the Rfam family "Bacterial small subunit ribosomal RNA", at positions 28 to 507 of the family's 1533-position model. The record is from RNAcentral.